This 150-nucleotide ribosomal RNA is filed under the name Clostridium sp. CAG:245_30_32. RNAcentral describes it as "partial 23S ribosomal RNA". It matches the Rfam family "Bacterial large subunit ribosomal RNA", at positions 2782 to 2925 of the family's 2925-position model. The record is from RNAcentral. Lineage: Bacteria; Bacillati; Bacillota; Clostridia; Eubacteriales; Clostridiaceae.
UAAGUGUGAAGCCAACUCUAAGAUAAGAUAUCUCAUAUCGUAAGGUAGUAAGAUUCCAUAAAGACUAUGUGGUUGAUAGGUUGGAGGUGUAAGUGUAGCGAUACAUUGAGCUGACCAAUACUAAUAAAUCGAGGGCUUAACCACUAAUAU